CACACACACACCCCUCCUUUCCAAAUAGCAUCAUUUGACAGGGGAAAAAGUUCACACCUCUGAGCUAUCUAGCAAAUGCUGAGCUCUUCCAACAUUGUUUUAUCCAAAAUCAACAAAAGACCUAACACAAAUGGAGUAUUUCGAUGACCCUGAUUCUGACCACAUUUUACAUCAGUUCAGGGGUAACCUUUGCUGUUGACCAGGCCUGCCAGAACUUCAUCGGACUCCUUUUCAAACGGACUCCAGUCUCGCUAUGGAUGCCUCUUCCUCUGCACGCCAUAGAUGUCGUCACCCAUCUGUGUGACAUUCAUUUAACGCAGAGUGAUACAAGUAAAAAGAUUUAAUUAUUCGAGCAAUAAUGCGACCAACUUUUGAAGACGGUGGCGUACACGCGGAUCCGACUGCAGUGCUCCCUUCAAUAGAUACCAGUCUAGCCACGGAUGCUUUAUAGGAAUUAUUACCCCUCUGGGUAAUAAUUAACGCAGAGUGAUACAGGUGAAAAUAGCCAAAUGCGGGAGCAGUACGGUGCGACAUGUUAGUUUUGUAGUGUGCAUUUUGUGUUUAGCAUUUUUAAAAAUGCUAAUUAAAAAAAAAAAAAAUUAAAAAAUCUAUUCAAAACCAGGCAACAAGUGUAGAAGUAAUUGAAUGUUUUAACUCUUUAAAAGUUGCACCAAAGGAUAAAAACAAAUAUCAUAGUUUGUAUUAUCAGGAUGAAUCAACCAAUUAUGCAUGCAUUACGCAAUUACCUUCACCUUCACCUUCUUCUACCGCUUA
Molecule: long non-coding RNA, 774 nt
Organism: Synchiropus splendidus (mandarinfish)
Lineage: Eukaryota; Metazoa; Chordata; Actinopteri; Syngnathiformes; Callionymidae
Exons: 4
Source: RefSeq, a predicted model, not a curated record